AGGCGAAACCGCGAAUGGCUCAUUAAAUCAGUUAUGGUUCCUUAGAUUGUUUCUACCUACUUGGAUAACUGUGGUAAUUCUAGAGCUAAUACAUGCAGUGAGCCCGAAGCCGUUAGGUGACGGGUGCUUUUAUUAGACCAAGAUCAAACGGGCCUCGGUCCGUGUGUGUGGUGACUCUGGAUAACUUUGGCUGAUCGCUAAGGCCACGAGCCGGCGACAAUUCUUUCAAGUGUCUGCCUUAUCAACUGUCGAUGGUAGGUUAUGCGCCUACCAUGGUCGUUACGGGUAACGGAGAAUCAGGGUUCGAUUCCGGAGAGGGAGCCUGAGAAACGGCUACCACAUCCAAGGAAGGCAGCAGGCGCGCAAAUUACCCACUCCCGGCACGGGGAGGUAGUGACGAAAAAUAACAAUACGGGACUCUUUUGAGGCCCCGUAAUUGAAAUGAGUACACUCUAAAUCCUUUAACGAGGAUCAAUUGGAGGGCAAGUCUGGUGCCAGCAGCCGCGGUAAUUCCAGCUCCAAUAGCGUAUACUAAAGUUGCUGCGGUUAAAAAGCUCGUAGUUGGAUCUCAGUUCCAGGCGGGUUGUGCAUCCACUCGAUGUUUACGACCCGCACUGAACAUCUUACCCGCUGUCUCUUGGUGCCCUUCAUUGGUGUGCCUCGAGGUGGCCGGUGCAUUUACUUUGAAAAAAUUAGAGUGCUCAACGCAGGCGAACGUCCUGAAUAACAGUGCAUGGAAUAAUAGAACAAGACCUUGUUUCUGUUCUGUUGGUUUUUGGAAACGAGGUAAUGAUUAAGAGGGACGGACGGGGGCAUUCGUAUUGCGGCGCUAGAGGUGAAAUUCUUGGACCGUCGCAAGACGAACUACUGCGAAAGCAUUUGCCAAGAAUGUUUUCAUUGAUCAAGAACGAAAGUCAGAGGUUCGAAGGCGAUCAGAUACCGCCCUAGUUCUGACCAUAAACGAUGCCAACUAGCGAUCCGCCUGAGUUACUCAAAUGACUCGGCGGGCAGCUUCCGGGAAACCAAAGUAUUUGGGUUCCGGGGGAAGUAUGGUUGCAAAGCUGAAACUUAAAGGAAUUGACGGAAGGGCACCACCAGGAGUGGAGCCUGCGGCUUAAUUUGACUCAACACGGGAAAUCUCACCCGGCCCGGACACUGGAAGGAUUGACAGAUUGAGAGCUCUUUCUUGAUUCGGUGGAUGGUGGUGCAUGGCCGUUCUUAGUUGGUGGAGCGAUUUGUCUGGUUAAUUCCGAUAACGAACGAGACUCUAGCCUAUUAAAUAGGUGCGAGGUUCUCUGCACCUUACAACCUUCUUAGAGGGACAAGCGGCUUCUAGCCGCACGAAACAGAGCAAUAACAGGUCUGUGAUGCCCUUAUAUGUCCGGGGCCGCACGCGCGCUACACUGAAGGAAGCAGCGUGUAUUUGCCCCUGUCUGCAAGACUGGGUAACCCGAGGAACCUCCUUCGUGAUUGGGAUAGGGGCUUGAAAUUGUUCCCCUUGACGAGGAAUUCCCAGUAAGCGCGAGUCAUAAGCUCGCGUUGAUUACGUCCCUGCACCUUUGUACACACCG
This 1571-nucleotide ribosomal RNA is filed under the name Nuttalliella namaqua. RNAcentral describes it as "SSU rRNA". It matches the Rfam family "Eukaryotic small subunit ribosomal RNA", at positions 79 to 1671 of the family's 1831-position model. Lineage: Eukaryota; Metazoa; Arthropoda; Arachnida; Ixodida; Nuttalliellidae. The record is from RNAcentral.